This 253-nucleotide ribosomal RNA is filed under the name uncultured bacterium. RNAcentral's name for it is "partial 16S ribosomal RNA". It matches the Rfam family "Bacterial small subunit ribosomal RNA", at positions 524 to 776 of the family's 1533-position model. The record is from RNAcentral.
GACGAAGGUGGCGACCGUUGUUCGGAAUCACUGGGCAUAAAGAGCUCGUAGGCGGUGAGAAAAGUAGGGUGUGAAAUCCCUCGGCCCAACCGAGGAACUGCGCUCUAAACUGUCUUGCUUGAGGACCGAAGGGGACCACGGAAUUCCUGGUGGAGCGGUGAAAUGCGUUGAUAUCAGGAGGAACACCGGCGGCGAAGGCGGUGGUCUGGUCGGUUUCUGACGCUGAGGAGCGAAAGCUAGGGGAGCAAACAGG